Molecule: transfer RNA, 71 nt
Filed under: Bos taurus (domestic cattle)
Lineage: Eukaryota; Metazoa; Chordata; Mammalia; Artiodactyla; Bovidae
Also listed under: 1 other name
Rfam family: tRNA
About the family: Transfer RNA (tRNA) molecules are approximately 80 nucleotides in length. Their secondary structure includes four short double-helical elements and three loops (D, anti-codon, and T loops). Further hydrogen bonds mediate the characteristic L-shaped molecular structure. tRNAs have two regions of fundamental functional importance: the anti-codon, which is responsible for specific mRNA codon recognition, and the 3' end, to which the tRNAs corresponding amino acid is attached (by aminoacyl-tRNA synthetases). tRNAs cope with the degeneracy of the genetic code in two manners: having more than one tRNA (with a specific anti-codon) for a particular amino acid; and 'wobble' base-pairing, i.e. permitting non-standard base-pairing at the 3rd anti-codon position.
Source: Rfam by way of RNAcentral
ACCUGAUUGCUCAGUCAGGAAAGAAUCUGCCUGCAAUGCAGAAUACCCAGGUUCAAUUUCUGGAUCAGGAA